AUUGAACGCUGGCGGCAGGCCUAACACGUGCAAGUCGAGCGCGAAAGUCUUCGGAUGAGUAAAGCGGCGGACGGGUGAGUAAUGCAUGGGAAUCUGCCUGGUAGUGGGGGGACAACGUUUCGAAAGAGACGCUAAUACCGCAUACGCCCUACGGGGGAAAGGGGGGGAUCUUCGGACCUCUCGCUAUCAGAUGAGCCCAUGUCAGAUUAGCUAGUUGGUAGGGUAAAGGCCUACCAAGGCGACGAUCUGUAACUGGUCUGAGAGGAUGAUCAGUCACACUGGAACUGAGACACGGUCCAGACUCCUACGGGAGGCAGCAGUGGGGAAUAUUGGACAAUGGGGGCAACCCUGAUCCAGCCAUGCCGCGUGUGUGAAGAAGGCCCUAGGGUUGUAAAGCACUUUCAGUGGGGAGAAAGGUUGUUCAGUUAAUACCUGAAUGAAUUGAUGUUACCCACAGAAGAAGCACCGGCUAACUCCGUGCCAGCAGCCGCCGUAA
Molecule: ribosomal RNA, 496 nt
Filed under: uncultured bacterium
Lineage: Bacteria
Description: partial 16S ribosomal RNA
Rfam family: Bacterial small subunit ribosomal RNA
Source: RNAcentral